This 245-nucleotide unclassified non-coding RNA is filed under the name uncultured fungus. Its description in RNAcentral is "sequence contains ITS2". The record is from RNAcentral. Lineage: Eukaryota; Fungi.
AACGCACAUUGCGCCCCUUGGCAUUCCGAGGGGCAUGCCUGUCCGAGCGUCAUGUACGCCAAUCGAGCCCCGCGCUCGGUCUUGGGCACUGCUGGUGAUGGCAGGCCUCAAAUCCAGUGGCGGCGCCGUCGGGUCCCUCGCGUAGUACGCUCUCGCACUGGGCCCCGGCGGGGUAGGCGCCAUCAAUCGUUCGUCCGAACUUCAAGGUUGACCUCGGAUCAGGUAGGAAUACCCGCUGAACUUAA